UGAAGAUGUUUAAGGCCUUGACAUGUAAAGUGUUUGACUGGACUUUCUCUCCAUUCUGCAAAGCAUCCAGGGACAUGCUGCUGUAUAAAUGGAUUCAUAAAAGUCUCGUGAGCAAGGAGGGUCAACCUUACUACACUUUAGAAUCAAUUCUGGCUCCACAAAAGCAAGCAAUGAAGACUGUAUCCCCAAAGGACUGCCUUACACUUGCACACCACUAAAAGCAGGCUUGCAAAUUCAUACCCCUUGGACGGCUCACUGGAGCUGGAGGGCUCACAUCCUGGAAAAU
This is a long non-coding RNA of Corvus hawaiiensis (hawaiian crow), 286 nucleotides long. RefSeq lists it as uncharacterized. The transcript is spliced from 3 exons. NCBI's taxonomy places the organism in Eukaryota, Metazoa, Chordata, Aves, Passeriformes, Corvidae. The record is from RefSeq and is a predicted model, not a curated record.